This 75-nucleotide transfer RNA is filed under the name Parnassia tenella. RNAcentral describes it as "tRNA-His". The stretch from base 13 to 75 matches the Rfam family "tRNA", at positions 1 to 60 of the family's 71-position model. Rfam says of the family: Transfer RNA (tRNA) molecules are approximately 80 nucleotides in length. Their secondary structure includes four short double-helical elements and three loops (D, anti-codon, and T loops). Further hydrogen bonds mediate the characteristic L-shaped molecular structure. tRNAs have two regions of fundamental functional importance: the anti-codon, which is responsible for specific mRNA codon recognition, and the 3' end, to which the tRNAs corresponding amino acid is attached (by aminoacyl-tRNA synthetases). tRNAs cope with the degeneracy of the genetic code in two manners: having more than one tRNA (with a specific anti-codon) for a particular amino acid; and 'wobble' base-pairing, i.e. permitting non-standard base-pairing at the 3rd anti-codon position. Lineage: Eukaryota; Viridiplantae; Streptophyta; Magnoliopsida; Celastrales; Celastraceae. RNAcentral also lists the same sequence under 3 other names. The record is from RNAcentral.
CGUCGUUCGCCGGCGGAUGUAGCCAAGUGGAUCAAGGCAGUGGAUUGUGAAUCCACCAUGCGCGGGUUCAAUUCC